AAACAUUAUUAUCUUUUCAUGCAUCCUCUUAUAAAGAACAAAAAACAAUAUUGUAAAAUAUGCGUAAAUGCAUAUCUAUCCCAUAAAGAGCCCAUAACUUAUGGAAGUGAAUUUGAGUAAAAAGACACUAUAUAUGAAAGGAGAGAGGAGGGGGCCAAGAAAGAAAGCAUUGGAGGAAGAUCAAGCCGUCACUCAUUCUCCAACAUCAUCCUCACCUAACAAAAUUCCCUCCUUGGAAAUAAACCCUAACUCUAGCAUUCACAAUCAUUUGCAUUAUCUUUCCUUGGUUUUUUUUUUUUUUUGGAUGGAUAUUCAUCAUAUGAUUUUGAAAAUAAUAAUCUUACACGUCACCCUCCUCGUGACGUGUCCCUUUAGUAUGUGAUUUCACAUGUCUCCCGGUUACUCCCGUUAAUUUAGGUUUAUGGUGUCCAUUAUUACAAGCUAAUUGGCCUACUUUGAACACUAGCUAGCCUAUGAUCUUUUUUGGCACUCAAUUUUAGGAUUUUGAUUAAUUAAUUUGGUCUACGUUUUGAGCAAGAAAUGUC
Molecule: long non-coding RNA, 545 nt
Filed under: Prunus persica (peach)
Lineage: Eukaryota; Viridiplantae; Streptophyta; Magnoliopsida; Rosales; Rosaceae
Description: long non-coding RNA (PPER_LNC008474)
Source: RNAcentral